RNAcentral lists this ribosomal RNA (450 nucleotides) under uncultured bacterium. RNAcentral describes it as "bacterial SSU rRNA". It matches the Rfam family "Bacterial small subunit ribosomal RNA", at positions 355 to 796 of the family's 1533-position model. The record is from RNAcentral.
UGGGGAAUUGUUCGCAAUGGACGCAAGUCUGACGACGCAACGCCGCGUGGAGGAUGAAGACCUUCGGGUCGUAAACUCCUUUCGACCGAGAUGAAGAGACGCCCAUCUAAUACAUGGGCGUAUUGACAGUAUCGAGGGAAGCAGCCCCGGCUAACUCCGUGCCAGCAGCCGCGGUAAUACGGGGGGGGCAAGCGUUGUUCGGAAUUACUGGGCGUAAAGGGUCUGUAGGUGGCUCACUAAGCCACACGUGAAAUCCCUCAGCUUAACUGGGGAACUGCGUGUGGGACUGGAGAGCUUGAGGACAGGAGAGGAACGCGGAAUUCCAGGUGUAGCGGUGAAAUGCGUAGAUAUCUGGAGGAACACCGGUGGCGAAGGCGGCGUUCUGGACUGUUUCUGACACUGAAAGACGAAAGCCAGGGGAGCAAACGGGAUUAGAUACCCCCGUAGUCC